UAUGGCAGCUUAGUGCAAAGGUUUUAAAAUCCUUACAUAAAGAAAUUUCUUUUAUUAAAA
This 60-nucleotide transfer RNA is filed under the name Cardiocondyla tibetana. RNAcentral describes it as "transfer RNA-Leu". The record is from RNAcentral. Lineage: Eukaryota; Metazoa; Arthropoda; Insecta; Hymenoptera; Formicidae.